Molecule: non-coding RNA, 120 nt
Filed under: Shewanella sp. P1-14-1
Lineage: Bacteria; Pseudomonadati; Pseudomonadota; Gammaproteobacteria; Alteromonadales; Shewanellaceae
Source: RNAcentral
UAUCAUUUGCGUAGGGUACAGAGGUUAAGAUGUUCCAUCUUUCAGACCUUUUUUAUUCGCUAGAAAUAGUGACAAGCCGAAUUAUGGCGCUCCAGCAUUUUUGUGCUGGAGCUUUUUUUU